RNAcentral lists this ribosomal RNA (497 nucleotides) under uncultured bacterium. RNAcentral describes it as "partial 16S ribosomal RNA". It matches the Rfam family "Bacterial small subunit ribosomal RNA", at positions 28 to 507 of the family's 1533-position model. The record is from RNAcentral.
GAUGAACGCUGGCGGCGUGCCUAAUACAUGCAAGUCGAGCGAACAGACGAGGAGCUUGCUCCUCUGACGUUAGCGGCGGACGGGUGAGUAACACGUGGAUAACCUACCUAUAAGACUGGGAUAACUUCGGGAAACCGGGGCUAAUACCGGAUAAUAUAUUGAACCGCAUGGUUCAAUAGUGAAAGACGGUUUUGCUGUCACUUAUAGAUGGAUCCGCGCCGCAUUAGCUAGUUGGUAAGGUAACGGCUUACCAAGGCAACGAUGCGUAGCCGACCUGAGAGGGUGAUCGGCCAAACUGGAACUGAGACACGGUCCAGACUCCUACGGGAGGCAGCAGUAGGGAAUCUUCCGCAAUGGGCGAAAGCCUGACGGAGCAACGCCGCGUGAGUGAUGAAGGUCUUCGGAUCGUAAAACUCUGUUAUUAGGGAAGAACAAAUGUGUAAGUAACUAUGCACGUCUUGACGGUACCUAAUCAGAAAGCCACGGCUAACUACGUG